Molecule: ribosomal RNA, 497 nt
Filed under: uncultured bacterium
Lineage: Bacteria
Description: partial 16S ribosomal RNA
Rfam family: Bacterial small subunit ribosomal RNA
Source: RNAcentral
GAUGAACGCUGGCGGCGUGCCUAAUACAUGCAAGUCGAGCGAACGGACGAGAAGCUUGCUUCUCUGAUGUUAGCGGCGGAGGGGUGAGUAACACGUGGAUAACCUACCUAUAAGACUGGGAUAACUUCGGGAAACCGGAGCUAAUACCGGAUAAUAUUUUGAACCGCAUGGUUCAAAAGUGAAAGACGGUCUUGCUGUCACUUAUAGAUGGAUCCGCGCUGCAUUAGCUAGUUGGUAAGGUAACGGCUUACCAAGGCAACGAUGCAUAGCCGACCUGAGAGGGUGAUCGGCCACCCUGGAACGGAGACACGGUCCAGACUCCUACGGGAGGCAGCAGUAGGGAAUCUUCCGCAAUGGGCGAAAGCCUGACGGAGCAACGCCGCGUGAGUGAUGAAGGUCUUCGGAUCGUAAAACUCUGUUAUUAGGGAAGAACAUAUGUGUAAGUAACUGUGCACAUCUUGACGGUACCUAAUCAGAAAGCCACGGCUAACUACGUG